Molecule: transfer RNA, 59 nt
Filed under: Cerogria janthinipennis
Lineage: Eukaryota; Metazoa; Arthropoda; Insecta; Coleoptera; Tenebrionidae
Description: tRNA-Ser
Source: RNAcentral
GAAAUAAUAAUAAAUAAGCUUCUAACUUAAUUUCAAGCAUUGUAUAUGUUUAUAUUUCU